CAUUGUUUAUUUAAUUUGUCUGUUCAAGAUUAAGCCAUGCAUGUCUAAGUAUAAGCAAUUAUACCGUGAAACUGCGAAUGGCUCAUUAAAUCAGUUAUCGUUUAUUUGAUAGUACCUUACUACUUGGAUAACCGUGGUAAUUCUAGAGCUAAUACAUGCUAAAAACCCCAACUUCGGGAGGGGUGUAUUUAUUAGAUAAAAAACCAAUGCCCUUCGGGGCUCUUUGGUGAUUCAUGAUAACUUAACGGAUCGCAUGGCCUUGCGCCGGCGACGGUUCAUUCAAAUUUCUGCCCUAUCAACUUUCGAUGGUAAGGUAUUGGCUUACCAUGGUUUCAACGGGUAACGGGGAAUUAGGGUUCGAUUCCGGAGAGGGAGCCUGAGAAACGGCUACCACAUCCAAGGAAGGCAGCAGGCGCGCAAAUUACCCAAUCCCGACACGGGGAGGUAGUGACAAUAAAUACUGAUACAGGGCUCUUUUGGGUCUUGUAAUCGGAAUGAGUACAAUUUAAACCCCUUAACGAGGAACAAUUGGAGGGCAAGUCUGGUGCCAGCAGCCGCGGUAAUUCCAGCUCCAAUAGCGUAUAUUAAAGUUGUUGCAGUUAAAAAGCUCGUAGUUGAACCUUGGGCCUGGCUGGCCGGUCCGCCUCACCGCGUGUACUGGUCCGGCCGGGCCUUUCCUUCUGGAGAGCCCCAUGCCCUUCACUGGGCGUGCGGGGGAACCAGGACUUUUACUUUGAAAAAAUUAGAGUGUUCAAAGCAGGCCUUUGCUCGAAUACGUUAGCAUGGAAUAAUAGAAUAGGACGUGCGGUCCUAUUUUGUUGGUUUCUAGGACCGCCGUAAUGAUUAAUAGGGAUAGUCGGGGGCAUCAGUAUUCAAUUGUCAGAGGUGAAAUUCUUGGAUUUAUUGAAGACUAACUACUGCGAAAGCAUUUGCCAAGGAUGUUUUCAUUAAUCAGUGAACGAAAGUUAGGGGAUCGAAGACGAUCAGAUACCGUCGUAGUCUUAACCGUAAACUAUGCCGACUAGGGAUCGGGCGAUGUUUCUAUCUUGACUCGCUCGGCACCUUACGAGAAAUCAAAGUUUUUGGUUCUGGGGAG
This 1096-nucleotide ribosomal RNA is filed under the name Preussia sp. (in: ascomycete fungi). Its description in RNAcentral is "SSU rRNA". It matches the Rfam family "Eukaryotic small subunit ribosomal RNA", at positions 1 to 1121 of the family's 1831-position model. Lineage: Eukaryota; Fungi; Ascomycota; Dothideomycetes; Pleosporales; Sporormiaceae. The record is from RNAcentral.